GGGAGCGUGGCGGAAUUGGCAUACGCAGUGGACUUAAAAUCCACCGCCGAAAGGGGUAAACAGUCCUGUGGACUGUUUACGGCGUAGCGAGCGUAAGCGAGCGAUAGCCUGUGGAUUGCGAAGCAAUACGCGCGAGUCCCGCCGCUCCUACCA
Molecule: transfer RNA, 153 nt
Filed under: Coriobacteriales bacterium
Lineage: Bacteria; Bacillati; Actinomycetota; Coriobacteriia; Coriobacteriales
Description: tRNA-Leu
Source: RNAcentral